This 72-nucleotide transfer RNA is filed under the name Henricia leviuscula. Its description in RNAcentral is "tRNA-Leu". It matches the Rfam family "tRNA". Rfam says of the family: Transfer RNA (tRNA) molecules are approximately 80 nucleotides in length. Their secondary structure includes four short double-helical elements and three loops (D, anti-codon, and T loops). The record is from RNAcentral. Lineage: Eukaryota; Metazoa; Echinodermata; Asteroidea; Spinulosida; Echinasteridae.
GCUAUAGUAGCAAAGGGGUAAUGCUAGAAAUCUAAGCUUUCUUUAUCGGAAGUUCGAUUCUUCCCUUUAGUU